RNAcentral lists this ribosomal RNA (119 nucleotides) under Salmo salar (Atlantic salmon). The record is from RNAcentral. Lineage: Eukaryota; Metazoa; Chordata; Actinopteri; Salmoniformes; Salmonidae.
GCUUACGGCCAUACCAGCCUGGGUACGCCCGAUCUUGUCUGAUCUCGGAAGCUAAGCAGGGUCGGGCCUGGUUAGUACUUGGAUGGGAGACCGCCUGGGAAUACCAGGUGCUGUAAGCA